UGAACGCUGGCGGCGUGCCUAAUACAUGCAGUCGAGCGAACAGACGAGGAGCUUGCUCCUCUGACGUUAGCGGCGGACGGGUGAGUAACACGUGGAUAACCUACCUAUAAGACUGGGAUAACUUUGGGAAACCGGAGCUAAUACCGGAUAAUAUAUUGAACCGCAUGGUUCAAUAGUGAAAGACGGUUUUGCUGUCACUUAUAGAUGGAUCCGCGCCGCAUUAGCUAGUUGGUAAGGUAACGGCUUACCAAGGCAACGAUGCGUAGCCGACCUGAGAGGGUGAUCGGCCACACUGGAACUGAGACACGGUCCAGACUCCUACGGGAGGCAGCAGUAGGGAAUCUUCCGCAAUGGGCGAAAGCUUGACGGAGCAACGCCGCGUGAGUGAUGAAGGUCUUCGGAUCGUAAAACUCUGUUAUUAGGGAAGAACAAAUGUGUAAGUAACUAUGCACGUCUUGACGGUACCUAAUCAGAAAGCCACGGCUAACUACGUG
RNAcentral lists this ribosomal RNA (494 nucleotides) under uncultured bacterium. Its description in RNAcentral is "partial 16S ribosomal RNA". It matches the Rfam family "Bacterial small subunit ribosomal RNA", at positions 30 to 507 of the family's 1533-position model. The record is from RNAcentral.